RNAcentral lists this transfer RNA (71 nucleotides) under Stegodyphus mimosarum. It matches the Rfam family "tRNA". From Rfam's summary of the family: Transfer RNA (tRNA) molecules are approximately 80 nucleotides in length. Their secondary structure includes four short double-helical elements and three loops (D, anti-codon, and T loops). Lineage: Eukaryota; Metazoa; Arthropoda; Arachnida; Araneae; Eresidae. The record is from Rfam by way of RNAcentral.
GCCUGCGUGGUGUAGCGGUAGCACCCUCGGCACGUAUUCGAGAGGUGCAGGUUCGAGUCCCGGCGAGGGCU